GAUGAACGCUGGCGGCGUGCCUAAUACAUGCAAGUCGAGCGAACGGACGAGGAGCUUGCUCCUCUGACGUUAGCGGCGGACGGGUGAGUAACACGUGGAUAACCUACCUAUAAGACUGGGAUAACUUCGGGAAACCGGAGCUAAUACCGGAUAAUAUAUUGAACCGCAUGGUUCAAUAGUGAAAGACGGUUUUGCUGUCACUUAUAGAUGGAUCCGCGCCGCAUUAGCUAGUUGGUAAGGUAACGGCUUACCAAGGCAACGAUGCGUAGCCGACCUGAGAGGGGGAUCGGCCACACUGGAACUGAGACACGGUCCAGACUCCUACGGGAGGCAGCAGUAGGGAAUCUUCCGCAAUGGGCGGAAGCCUGACGGAGCAACGCCGCGUGAGUGAUGAAGGUCUUCGGAUCGGAAAACUCUGUUAUUAGGGAAGAACAAAUGUGUAAGUAACUAUGCACGUCUUGACGGUACCUAAUCAGAAAGCCACGGCUAACUACGUG
RNAcentral lists this ribosomal RNA (497 nucleotides) under uncultured bacterium. RNAcentral describes it as "partial 16S ribosomal RNA". It matches the Rfam family "Bacterial small subunit ribosomal RNA", at positions 28 to 507 of the family's 1533-position model. The record is from RNAcentral.